ACAAUGAUACUCCCUUACAGCCACAGUCCGAGCGUUAAAAGCGUCACAGGCAAUGGGUAGGGCCGUGUGAGAACCACACGGGGGUGAAAAGCCCGUGG
This is a non-coding RNA of Subdoligranulum sp. 4_3_54A2FAA, 98 nucleotides long. The record is from Rfam. Lineage: Bacteria; Bacillati; Bacillota; Clostridia; Eubacteriales; Oscillospiraceae.